GGGCCCACAGGUGAUGUUUAAUGUGUUCAUCUUAACAGCUCAUGUUUAAGUCAGGAAAUGUGACCUGGUGGACCAGGUUCUAAAGUCAUUCCACUGUGGCGACUCCCAGAUGAGUCAUAUCUGUGUACCUGAUGGCAUCAGGGGAGGUCACAGGAAAUGGCUGGCUCUUAGCUGUGGCGUCAAGGUUUGCCGUGGGAACACGUUUUUGGAUUCUAGCUCUGCCACCAGCUAACUUGAAAAUCUUGUUUCUAUGACUUCUGUGCAUCUGUCUUUGCCUAUAAAACAAAGAUAAUCUCUCUCCUGGCCGAUUGUGAGCAUCAAAGAGCGGGCAUUUCACUUCCCUGUCACACAUAGGGAGUGCCCAAUUACCUAACUGUGAGCCUGGACACAACUUUAUGACAUAGACCGUGGGGAUUCUGCUUUGGCCUAGCCAAAGUCACGUGGUGGGAAGCAGAACCAACUUUUGAGGCUAAACACCAUACACUGUCCACUUAAGCCAGAUCCUGGACUAGCCUCCCAGGUUGACCCACUUUUUUUUUAAGGUUUAUGUGUUUUUAUUGGUAAAUCAGAUUUACAGAGAAGAGGAGAGACAGAAAGCUCUUCCAUCUGCUGGGUCACUCCCCAAGUGGCUACAACGGCCAGAGCUGAACCAAUCUGAAGCCAGGAGCUUCUUCUGGGUCUUCCAUGCAGGUGCAGGGUCUCAAGGCUUCGGGCCAUCCUCUUCUGCUUUCCCAGGCUACAAUAGGGAGCUGGAAGGGGAAGUGGAGCAGCCAGGAUACAAACCAGCACACAUAUCGGAUCCUGGCGCAUGCAAGGCAGGAACUGUAGCCACUAGGCUGUCACUUCAGGCCCAAGGUUGACCCAUCUUUACAAUAUGCUUUUCUCCAUGCCACAAACUGGACAGAAGAAGUCCGUGGACUUGCCUCCUUGGUGUCCAGUUGGCCGUGGUCAGUGAGCGGACCUGAGCCAAGAUGCUGUGGAGUCCACUGGCAGAUGCACUCUGGUCUUGGGGACUACAAGGUGCACCAUGGAAAGCAGUGCAGAGGGCAAGAAACAAACGAAGACCCUGGCCACUGCUCCUGCUUCUGCCACGACAAGUCAGCAUAGCUGUGCUUCAUCGCCUACCCAGAAGCCAUCAACACUACUUCUCACAGGCAUUUGGAAAGUCCAUCUCCAAGGAGAGGAGAGCUGUUGCAGGAAAAUCAAACGUCCCAUCAGUACAUCCUGGAAGAUAAUGGAUGAUGACUAGAGCAUUGGGAUCCCUCCCACCCAUGUAGAAGACCCAGAUGCAGUUCUUGGCUCCCGGCUUCCACCUGAUCCAACUCUAGGAAUUGUGGGCUU
Long non-coding RNA from Ochotona princeps (American pika), 1341 nucleotides. RefSeq lists it as uncharacterized. NCBI's taxonomy places the organism in Eukaryota, Metazoa, Chordata, Mammalia, Lagomorpha, Ochotonidae. The transcript is spliced from 3 exons. The record is from RefSeq and is a predicted model, not a curated record.